RNAcentral lists this ribosomal RNA (439 nucleotides) under uncultured bacterium. RNAcentral's name for it is "partial 16S ribosomal RNA". It matches the Rfam family "Bacterial small subunit ribosomal RNA", at positions 338 to 795 of the family's 1533-position model. The record is from RNAcentral.
CCUACGGGAGGCAGCAGUGGGGAUACUGCACAAUGGGGGAAACCCUGAUGCAGCGACGCCGCGUGUGGGGAGACGGUCCUCUGGAUUGUAAACCACUGUCUCUAGGGACGAAGAUGACGGUACCUGGGGAUGAAGCUCCGGCAAACUACGUGCCAGAAGCCGCGGUAAUACGUAGGGAGCGAGGGUUGUCCGGAAUUACUGGGUGUAAGGGGAGCGUAGGCGGGGAUGCAAGUUGGGUGUCAAAAUUACCGGCUAAACUGGUAGUCGCACUCAAUACUGCAGGUCUUGAGUAAAGUAGAGGCAGGCGGAAUUCCUAGUGUAGCGGUGAAAUGCGUAGAUAUUAGGAGGAACACCAGUGGCGAAGGCGGCCUACUGAGCUUUUACUGACGCUGAGGCUCGAAAGUGUGGGGAGCAAACAGGAUUAGAUACCCUUGUAGUC